ACUAGAGUGAGAUAGAGGCAAGCGGAAUUCCAUGUGUAGCGGUAAAAUGCGUAAAUAUAUGGAGGAACACCAGAGGCGUAGGCGGCUUGCUGGGUCUUUACUGACGCUGAGGCACGAAAGCGUGGGGAGCAAACAGGAUUAGAUACCCUGGUAGUCCACGCCGUAAACGAUGAGUACUAAGUGUCGGGUAAAACUGGUACUGAAGUUAACACAUUAAGUACUCCGCCUGAGUAGUACGUACGCAAGUAUGAAACUUAAAGGAAUUGACGGGACUCCGCACAAGCGGUGGAUCAUGUUGUUUAAUUCGAAGAUACACGAAAAACCUUACCAGGUCUUGACAUUUUCUUGCGAAGUUAUAGAAAUAUAAUGGAGGUUAUCAGGAAAACAGGUGGUGCAUGGUUGUCGUCAGCUCGUGUCGUGAGAUGUUAGGUUAAGUCCUAAAACGAGCGCAACCCUUGUCGUUAAUUGCCAGCAUGUAAUGAUGGGGACUUUAACGAGACUGCCAAUGAAAAAUUGGAGGAAGGUGGGGAUUACGUCAAAUCAUCAUGCCCCUUAUGAUCUGGGCUACAAACGUGAUACAAUGGUUGAUACAAAGAGUAGCUGAAACGCGAGUUCUUAACCAAUCUCAAAAAAUCAAUCUCAGUUCGGAUUGAAGUCUGCAACUCGACUUCACGAAGUUGGAAU
This 684-nucleotide ribosomal RNA is filed under the name Candidatus Phytoplasma pruni. RNAcentral's name for it is "bacterial SSU rRNA". It matches the Rfam family "Bacterial small subunit ribosomal RNA", at positions 640 to 1332 of the family's 1533-position model. The record is from RNAcentral. Lineage: Bacteria; Bacillati; Mycoplasmatota; Mollicutes; Acholeplasmatales; Acholeplasmataceae.